UACGUAGGGGGCAAGCGUUAUCCGGAUUUACUGGGUGUAAAGGGAGCGUAGACGGCAGAGCAAGUCUGAAGUGAAAGCCCGCGGCCCAACUGCGGGACUGCUUUGGAAACUGCCCGGCUAGAGUGCUGGAGAGGUAAGCGGAAUUCCUAGUGUAGCGGUGAAAUGCGUAGAUAUUAGGAGGAACACCAGUGGCGAAAGCGGCUCUCUGGUCUGUAACUGACGCUGAGGUUCGAAAGCGUGGGUAGCAAACAGG
RNAcentral lists this ribosomal RNA (253 nucleotides) under uncultured bacterium. Its description in RNAcentral is "partial 16S ribosomal RNA". It matches the Rfam family "Bacterial small subunit ribosomal RNA", at positions 524 to 776 of the family's 1533-position model. The record is from RNAcentral.